RNAcentral lists this RNase P RNA (210 nucleotides) under Rhodanobacter sp. FW104-R5. Its description in RNAcentral is "partial RNase P RNA component class A". It matches the Rfam family "Bacterial RNase P class A", at positions 40 to 244 of the family's 367-position model. From Rfam's summary of the family: Ribonuclease P (RNase P) is a ubiquitous endoribonuclease, found in archaea, bacteria and eukarya as well as chloroplasts and mitochondria. Its best characterised activity is the generation of mature 5'-ends of tRNAs by cleaving the 5'-leader elements of precursor-tRNAs. Cellular RNase Ps are ribonucleoproteins. Lineage: Bacteria; Pseudomonadati; Pseudomonadota; Gammaproteobacteria; Lysobacterales; Rhodanobacteraceae. The record is from RNAcentral.
AUCGAGGAAAGUCCGGGCUCCGCAGGGCAGAGUGCCAGGUAACUCCUGGGCAGCGCGAGCUGACGGCCAGUGCAACAGAGAGCAGACCGCCGAUGGCCCGCAAGGGCACAGGCAAGGGUGAAAGGGUGCGGUAAGAGCGCACCGCGUACGGGGCCAACGCCGUACGGCACGGUAAACCCCACUCGGAGCAAGACCAAAUAGGGGAACGAU